Molecule: long non-coding RNA, 327 nt
Filed under: Elaeis guineensis (African oil palm)
Lineage: Eukaryota; Viridiplantae; Streptophyta; Magnoliopsida; Arecales; Arecaceae
Description: long non-coding RNA (EGUI_LNC054951)
Source: RNAcentral
AUUUUUAUCUGAUAUGAUCAGAUGACAUCACUCCACCAAUUAAAAUUUUGUUAGAAUUAAUUGAAAUUUUUUGAUUGGUCGAAUGAUGUGGCACUGCAUGGCGCAGCAGGAUCUAUUUAAACCCUGUUUGUGCCUAGUUGUGUGAUUCUACUCAAUACCCAGCAAAAAUGAGAUUCUCCUCCACUUCUCUAUGUCCCCUAUACUCCUCUCUCUCCUCUCUUCACAUCCAAGGAGUUGGGCAUCCAUCUGGUGCUUGUCCAAGGCGUGGUGGCUUCCUGAUCAGAAGGCUGCAGGGAUUUAUCGAGAAGCUGCUGCUCCAACUAAAGA